This 382-nucleotide ribosomal RNA is filed under the name uncultured bacterium. RNAcentral's name for it is "bacterial SSU rRNA". It matches the Rfam family "Bacterial small subunit ribosomal RNA", at positions 30 to 408 of the family's 1533-position model. The record is from RNAcentral.
AUUGAACGCUGGCGGCAUGCCUUACACAUGCAAGUCGAACGGCAGCACGGGAGCAAUCCUGGUGGCGAGUGGCGAACGGGUGAGUAAUAUAUCGGAACGUGCCCAGUCGUGGGGGAUAACGUAGCGAAAGCUACGCUAAUACCGCAUACGAUCUAUGGAUGAAAGCGGGGGAUCGCAAGACCUCGCGCGAUUGGAGCGGCCGAUAUCAGAUUAGGUAGUUGGUGAGGUAAAGGCUCACCAAGCCGACGAUCUGUAGCUGGUCUGAGAGGACGACCAGCCACACUGGGACUGAGACACGGCCCAGACUCCUACGGGAGGCAGCAGUGGGGAAUUUUUGGACAAUGGGCGCAAAGCCCUUGAUCCAGCAAUGCCGCGUGCAGGA